GGGCUGGUAGUUCAGUGGUAGAAUGCUUGGUUGGCAAUCAAGAGGUCGGGGGUCCGAUUCCCCCUCAGUCCACCA
RNAcentral lists this transfer RNA (75 nucleotides) under Candidatus Bathyarchaeota archaeon. RNAcentral's name for it is "tRNA-Ala". It matches the Rfam family "tRNA". From Rfam's summary of the family: Transfer RNA (tRNA) molecules are approximately 80 nucleotides in length. Their secondary structure includes four short double-helical elements and three loops (D, anti-codon, and T loops). RNAcentral also lists the same sequence under 1 other name. The record is from RNAcentral. Lineage: Archaea; Thermoproteati; Candidatus Bathyarchaeota.